Molecule: ribosomal RNA, 301 nt
Filed under: uncultured bacterium
Lineage: Bacteria
Description: partial 16S ribosomal RNA
Rfam family: Bacterial small subunit ribosomal RNA
Source: RNAcentral
CAGUCGCCGCGGUAAUACGUAGGUCCCGAGCGUUGUCCGGAUUUAUUGGGCGUAAAGGGAGCGCAGGCGGUUUAGUAAGUCUGAAGUUAAAGGCAUUGGCUCAACCAAUGUAUGCUUUGGAAACUGUUAGACUUGAGUGCAGAAGGGGAGAGUGGAAUUCCAUGUGUAGCGGUGAAAUGCGUAGAUAUAUGGAGGAACACCGGUGGCGAAAGCGGCUCUCUGGUCUGUCACUGACGCUGAGGCUCGAAAGCGUGGGUAGCGAACAGGAUUAGAUACCCCGGUAGUCCCUGUCUCUUAUACA